This 1402-nucleotide long non-coding RNA is filed under the name Felis catus (domestic cat). RNAcentral's name for it is "lncRNA (ENSFCAG00000048647.1)". The record is from RNAcentral. Lineage: Eukaryota; Metazoa; Chordata; Mammalia; Carnivora; Felidae.
CUCCUGAGAUGGGUGCCUUGGUUCAUCCCAGCCACCCUGGAGCCUCCCCACUCGGCCCUGCCAAGGCUUUCUCCUGCGGGGGCAAGGUCAAUGUCACCUGUGGCUGGGGAGGGGCCGGGCAGGGAUUUUGAUGUCACAGCACUGACAACAAGGACCAGAAAGAGAUGACAGCUGACUUUGAACCCUUCUCCAUUGUCCUAGACUUUGUGAUUGCAGAGCAAAGAAGGGGGGAGAAAAGUCUAUGGAUGGGGCUGUGAUUUAUGUAUAUAUGCAUGUGUAUGUAUGUAUAUAUGCAUAUUUGUGUAUAUAUGUAUGUGUGUAUGUAUAUAUGCAUGUGUGUAUGCGUAUAUGCAUGUGUGUGUAUAUGCAUGUGUGUAUGUAUAUGUGUAUGUGUAUAUAUGUAUGUGUAUGUAUAUAUGCAUGUGUGUAUAUGCAUGUCUGUAUGUGUAUAUGCGUGUGUAUGUAUAUAUGCAUGUGUGUGUAUACAAGCAUGUGUGUACGUGUAUAUGCGUGUAUGUGUAUAUAUGCAUGUGUGUAUGUAUACAUGCAUGUGAGUGUAUAUAUGCAUAUGUGUAUGUAUAUAUGUAUGUGUUUAUGUAUAUAUGCCUAUGUGUAUAUAUGUAUGUGUAUGUAUAUAUGCAUGUGUUGUGUAUAUGCACGUCUGUUUUUGCGUGUGUGUAUGUAUAUAUGCAUGUGUGUAUGUAUAAUGGUAUAUGUGUGUAUGUAUAUAUACAUGUGUGUAUAUGCAUGUGUAUGUAUAUAUACAUGUGUGUAUAUGCAUGUGUAUAUGUGUGUAUGUAUAUAUGCAUGUGUGUAUGUAUAUAUGUAUGUGUAUAUAUAUGUAUGCAUGUGUAUGUAUAUAUGCAGGUAUACACAUGUGUAUGCAUAUGUGUAUGUAUAUAUGUAUGUGUGUAUGUAUAUAUGCAAGUGUGUAUGUAUACAUGCAUGUGUGCAUAUGUGAAUAUGUGUAUGUAUAUAUGUAUGUGCGUAUGUAUAUUGCAUGUGUGUAUGUGUAUAUGCGUGUGUGUAUGUCUAUAUGUAUGCGUGUGUAUGUAUACAUGCAUGUGUGUAUGUGUAUAUGCAUGUGUGUAUGUAUAUAUGCAUGUGUGUGUAUGUAUGCAUGCAUGUGUGCGUAUAUAUGCAUGGGUGUAUAUGCAUAUGUGUAUGUAUAUAUGCAUAUGUGUAUGUAUAUAUGUAUGUGUAUAUGCAUGUGUGUAUAUGCAUGUGUGUAUGUAUAUAUGCAUGUGGGUAUGUGUAUAUGUAUGCAUGUGUGUGUAUGUAUAUAUGCAUGUGUGUGUAUGUAUACAUGCAUGUGUGUAUGUAUAUAUGCAUGUGUGUAUGUGUAUAUGCAUGUGUGUAUGUCUAUAUGUAUGUGUAUGUAUAUAUGCAUGUGUUGUAUGUA